Molecule: non-coding RNA, 73 nt
Organism: Trichonephila clavata
Lineage: Eukaryota; Metazoa; Arthropoda; Arachnida; Araneae; Nephilidae
Source: the annotation of a GenBank genome assembly
GUCUCUGUAGUACAAUGGAUAGUGCGUUGGACUCCUAAUCCAAAAGAAUUGAGUUCGAAUCCCACCUGGGAUA